This 191-nucleotide microRNA precursor is filed under the name Xyrichtys novacula (pearly razorfish). The record is from RNAcentral. Lineage: Eukaryota; Metazoa; Chordata; Actinopteri; Labriformes; Labridae.
GAGUGAUGAUGACAGAGGAGGAGGAGGAGGAGGAGAGGAAGAGGAGGAGAGGGUGGUGUGCUAAUGUGUCGCUCUGAAACCAGAGCUCAUUUAAAGUUAAUCAGACACGCUGCUAACUCAUUUAAAUCUGCUCCUCUUCCUCCUCUUCCUCCUCUUCCUCCUCCUCCUCUUCCUCCUCUUCUUCUUCUUCU